CCCACUGAUUUAUAUUAAAGGGCUGCAGUAUUAUGACUGUACAAAGGUAGCAUAAUCAUUAGUUUUUUAAUUGGAAACUUGUAUGAAAGAUUUAAUGAAAUAUUAACUGUCUCUUAUUUUUUAUUAGAAUUUUAUUUUUUAGUAAAAAAGCUAAAAUAAUUUUAAAAGACGAGAAGACCCUAUAGAGUUUUAUAUUUAAUUUUAUUUUAAAUUUAUAUAAAAAUUAAUAUUAAAAUAAAAUUAAAUAUUAUAUUGGGGUGAUAGAAAAAUAAAAAUAACUUUUUUUAACAAUAAACAUAAAUAAAUGAUUAAAUGAUCCAUUAUUGAUGAUUAUAAGAAAAAAUUACCUUAGGGAUAACAGCGUAAUAUUUUUUUUUAGUUCAAAUAAAAAAAAAAGUUUGCGACCUCGAUGUUGGAUUAAGAUAAAAUUUAGAUGCAAAAGUUUAAAAUUU
This 452-nucleotide ribosomal RNA is filed under the name Erebia neriene. RNAcentral describes it as "partial 16S ribosomal RNA". The record is from RNAcentral. Lineage: Eukaryota; Metazoa; Arthropoda; Insecta; Lepidoptera; Nymphalidae.